CUCCUGGUACAUCUUUGCAGCGCAAUGGUGCCGCCGUGCAAGGCGCGAGUGUUCACGAAGCCCAAACAAGCGAUCAUUUCGACACUUUGCCCAACGGGGAUGGGAGUGGCAGGGCAAUAUCAAUUAUU
Sinocyclocheilus anshuiensis is the source of this 128-nucleotide long non-coding RNA. RefSeq lists it as uncharacterized. Lineage: Eukaryota; Metazoa; Chordata; Actinopteri; Cypriniformes; Cyprinidae. The record is from RefSeq and is a predicted model, not a curated record. The transcript has 3 exons.